GGUCUCGUAGUUCAAUGGACAGAAUAGAUGUUUCCUAAACAUUUGAUAGCAGUUCGAUUCUGCUCGAGACUACCA
Molecule: transfer RNA, 75 nt
Filed under: Bacteroidetes bacterium UKL13-3
Lineage: Bacteria; Pseudomonadati; Bacteroidota
Also listed under: 1 other name
Description: tRNA-Arg
Rfam family: tRNA
About the family: Transfer RNA (tRNA) molecules are approximately 80 nucleotides in length. Their secondary structure includes four short double-helical elements and three loops (D, anti-codon, and T loops). Further hydrogen bonds mediate the characteristic L-shaped molecular structure. tRNAs have two regions of fundamental functional importance: the anti-codon, which is responsible for specific mRNA codon recognition, and the 3' end, to which the tRNAs corresponding amino acid is attached (by aminoacyl-tRNA synthetases). tRNAs cope with the degeneracy of the genetic code in two manners: having more than one tRNA (with a specific anti-codon) for a particular amino acid; and 'wobble' base-pairing, i.e. permitting non-standard base-pairing at the 3rd anti-codon position.
Source: RNAcentral